UACGAAGGGGGCUAGCGUUGUUCGGAUUUACUGGGCGUAAAGCGCACGUAGGCGGAUUGUUAAGUCAGGGGUGAAAUCCUGGAGCUCAACUCCAGAACUGCCUUUGAUACUGGCAAUCUAGAGUCCGGAAGAGGUGAGUGGAACUCCUAGUGUAGAGGUGGAAUUCGUAGAUAUUAGGAAGAACACCAGUGGCGAAGGCGGCUCACUGGUCCGGAACUGACGCUGAGGUGCGAAAGCGUGGGGAGCAAACAGG
This 253-nucleotide ribosomal RNA is filed under the name uncultured bacterium. Its description in RNAcentral is "partial 16S ribosomal RNA". It matches the Rfam family "Bacterial small subunit ribosomal RNA", at positions 524 to 776 of the family's 1533-position model. The record is from RNAcentral.